This is a long non-coding RNA of Columba livia (rock pigeon), 1764 nucleotides long. RefSeq lists it as uncharacterized. The transcript has 3 exons. Lineage: Eukaryota; Metazoa; Chordata; Aves; Columbiformes; Columbidae. The record is from RefSeq and is a predicted model, not a curated record.
CAAUAAUUAAUUCUUACUUUUUCUAACUACUCUUCUUUCUUCUCAAAGAAACUCCUCCCAGCCAAGACUCAGUUCCAAAUAGACAAGUGGGAAUUGGCCCAUGUAUUUAUAAAAUUCGACUUCACAAGAGAGGUUCUCAGAUCUCUGAAGUUCUGGACUUCUCCCAGAUUUGCGUCCUAGAACCACAAAGCAAGAAGCUGAACGUGCAGAAAUAAAAACACAUAAAAAGAGACCGACAUCUGUUUUCACUUUACCUGCCUGAAACAGGUUUACAAAAUUUACAGAAGAAUGAAUGAAAAAUAUGCAUUUGCUUGUUGCAACAAGGAAGAAAAAGCUUAACCUGCCUAAAUUACCUUUUCCUGCUUACUGGAAAAGAAGAAAAAAAAAAACAUUUUAAAUCAGCAUUUUGAAUUCGUAAACUUUUCACAAGUUGAAAAAGAAGUUAAAUACCACACAUGGUUCCAUGGUUCCGUUUUGGGGCUUAAAAACAAUUUAAAAACCACUUUUCCUCCAUUUCCAUCUGGAGGUGUGGUUCUAGCUUCCACACGAGCAGUCAUGUAACUAUUUCUUGAACUUCAGCACAGAUUUUAAAAACCUUUCAUCCUUAUUGCCUCUGAACAUCCAGCUUUUUUUGGUGGGUUUGUUUUUUGUUUUUUGUUUUUUUAAUUAGCAACAUUAACCAAAUGUGACUCACUAGUGAUGAUGGCUUAGCUUGGGACAAUGUUGGUGGUUUCCACUUCCAGCUUGCUGUCCUGGCUUUUCUUGGCAGUUCUACCUCUUGCUCCAGGGAUAGCUCAGCAGCACAUGGAGCUCCUUCACCACUCAAGUUUGGAGGAAACCAGGAUCCAUUUCAAUUUCCCUUAAUACACCUGCCUCUAAUUUAUGGCAGCUCAGCAGCUGCUCCUGAGCAGCCACAGCAGCUCUGCAGUGGAGGCAGGAGCCUCUGUGAGAAGAGAAGGGCUGAUGUCCUGGCUGAAAUCAAGGGCACAGGCUGGGUACAUCGGCACAUGCCACAUGUCACAUUAAGGAAAUCUGAGGAGUAAUGCACUCAAUGAAAACAAAAUAGAGCUUGGCAACAAUUGAAAUAUUUAUGGGGUGAGGGAGGGGAGGAGAUAAUGUGCUACAGAGUGAUCAAGAGCAGUCAGAUCGUCAUUCGGAUCUGGGGGAAAAAAUGCUUAGGAGGGUGCCCUAGGGAGAUUUAAAAAAAAUGAUAAUAUAUUCAGAAUUUGCUACUGUUCAGGUAAAAAAAAGCAGACAUUACUGCUUUAACAGGUACCCAAGCCCUUUGGCUCAUGGCAUACGAUAUUUGAAAUGGCAGGGGUCAGUACACAGGAGAAAACAUUUGGGGAUGUUUCAGCACAACUUUCAACACAAAUGACUGGAAAGCGAUCAUCUGUCUUAAAGAUCGUGCCCACAGCAGUUCUUGUCCUGUAGCAAAGUAUGAGACAAAGCUAUGGUACUCUGGCUUUGUGACUUAAAAAAUGAAGUGGAAGAAAUGAGAUUGUUCAGCUGGUCUUCCGAAUUUUAAGAAUUAAAUCCUAUAUUUACAUGUAGGCCCAAGAGAAUGAAACAAAUGCAAAAGAAGGGAGCAUUCUUUGGAAAUGUGGCUGAUUAUUUUUCUAACCCGGUGUGUCAUGAGCAGCCUAGAUGCUACCCAUAGAAAGAAUGUGGCCUUACAACACGUCAUUGUACAUCCAGUUCCUUUUUUAAGAGUCUUUGUUUUCUCAAACUGAUAUUUGAAUUGUUUUCACCACCUGACAUACC